UCACCAAACUGCAUGGGGACAUGAAAGUUGUUUCAAAGUUUCAUAUGAUAAAUGUUCUCACAUUUACACCCUCCUGUGAAAUUAUCUGAUUUGGAAAUCUGGAAUAAAACACUGUUACUAAAUGCUCCUAAAUUUCUCUGCAGUAAAUCUGUACAAAUCUUAUCCUGAGACACUUUAUCUCCUUCUCUCCCAAGAGAUUCCAAAGAGACUCUGUAGCCUGGAAUAUUACUCCCUCAAAGUGUCUGCAGAAGACAAGGUUAUCCGUAUCGGAGCAGCAUGGUUUGGAGUUGUGUCCAGUCUAUUAGGUCCCAAGAGCAAGCUUCUGCAAACAUGUGUGGACUCUCUCGAAACCCCUGUGGCAGAAUGGCGCUGGUGACUAUAUGUGGUACUUUGAAUAAGAAUGGCCCCAUGGGCUCAUAAUUUGCUCAGUCACCUGGAAGUGGAACUCUUCCAUAGGAAGAAAGGAGAUGUGGCCAACUAAGUUCCUCUUUCUUUCAGGCUGUGGAUUAAGAUAUAGCUCUCAGCUACGGCUCCAAUGCCAUGCAUGCCGCCAUGCUCCCCACCAUGAUGGCAAUGGACUAAACCUCUGAAGCUGUAGACAAGGCCCCAAUUAAAUGGUCAUGAUGUCCUUUCACAGUAAUAGAACAGUGACAAAGACACUGAGGGUUAAUGUUGGCUUCCACCAAGGACAAACAACAAUACUGUAGUGGAGAAAGGAGGAGUUUGACCUUCAUUCUAACCAAGAGGCCUCUUCCCAGAAGAAGACCUGGGGUCUCGGGUCUAUUGGAAGAAGUGGCAGAAAUGGAGAUCCCCCCAGGAGCAGGCAAGAGGUUGAGUAAUAUAUCUUUUAAGGGGUUGGCUGGAUGUUUCCACAUGAUAGUCGCUUGUUGGAACUUAGGGCCAGGGGAGAAACAGAGGACUGAGAAUCAAGCACCAGUAUUGAUGAGGAAACUGAUCUGGUACUCACCUGCAGUUGUUAUUGUCCAAGGCCCCUCAAAAUAUACUUUGGGGGAGGAGCCUAUAUAGGGAGCCCUGAGACCCAUCAUUGAUGGGAGAGGAAGAGAAGACUUCUGCCUCAAUGGAUUCUUGGGGCAUUGAUCCUUCCAGUGAUUGCUUUUACAGAUGGGGCAGGGUCCCAGGGUGGCCUACAUCUCUGAGGACACUACCUUUGGAGAUGGCCUUCCCACUCAGAAAAGGCAGGACCCAGUUUAGACCAUGUUCCCUCGGGAGCCUCCUUGAUGGCAGCCAGCAGUUUGUCAAGACUCUUGUUGCUGCGUCUUUCCUUCUAUAUAUCCGUGCUUUGCUGUUCCUGAUCACGGUUACAAAAGACCACAGUAGUGGCCUGAACCAAACCAUGUGGUGGCUUGCCUGGCUCCAUGGCCCGCUUCUGAAGAUUUUACCAGUGACUGGCUGCGUCUACAAAACACCUCCACACUUAAGGCUCCAAGAACACAGUAGAGGAGGGGCUGAAAAAUGUUCCCAGCUCCAAAUCUUCAGAUGUGAGGACACAACAUGGAGUGCCCUCAGAAACCCGGAAAGUACGUGGGGAACAUGGUGUGGGUGCAAAUCAGGAGGGGGAGAGCAGGAUGCCGAGGAUGUGAUACAGAAAAUGAAGACACAGAUGAAGAAGGGCGAGUAGAGACAAAUGACACCCAGAUUGUUUGUUAAAGCCUCAAGGAAUCUUAUUAUUUUGUAUUUACCUAAAAUAAUACACAAUAUAUAGACUAACAAAAACUCCAGUACCAAGCAUGAGAAUUCUCCCUUAAAAUGGUUGGUCAGAAUAGUCUUCCAGACAAUAUACGCUAUGAGUGACUUCCAGACAGUAUAGAUUUUGGCUGUUGUCCUUGUUUCCUCUCAGGGGUUGAAUUAAGCCCCUCUUUCUGAUGACUCUGCACACUUAGGACACAAGACUUAGAUUAUUGGAGCUGGAUCUAACCUGAAAGCUUCCAUAGUAUCAUAAAAUACCAUACAAGCUGCCAAGGGAGGGAAGCAAUUAAUAUCCUACCAAGCUGUGACACCUACUGUCCAGCAUGACAAGAUAUCCAUAAAGGUACUAUAAUUGGCACUCAUGUGUCAUGGGUAACCAACAGCUGUCUAGUUGGAUAUAAGACCCACUUAACAGGAGGAAAAUCAUGCCUGGUACUGGGAAGCUAGGCAACUUCCCAUGGGUAGUGAGGUCAUAGAUCUUAGAGAGGCUCUACUAUCACCACUUUACUAGACCAACCUAAUUCCUAACUACACUCUACAUCUUCUCUUUAUACCCACAGAGAAGUGCAGCUCUCGCCCUUCAUCAAAGAAGCCUCUCUUGACAGCAAAUGGAGAGCCUCACAGAAAACCACAACUGGACACAAUGCAGAGCUCAAUGGAUCAUGGGAGCCCAGCCACAGUGGAUGCAUCUAUACCACAAUCCCUGCAUCUAUGGUUCAGGGAACAUCGCGGAAGAGGGAAUGGGAAGAUUGUAAGAGCCAGAGUACCAGGAAGUCUGCUGUGAAACAGCCUCUCCUAGGAACAGCUGCAUAGACAAGUGGCAAUAUCAGUAGACAUGCUAAUGUUGAAUGGGAACAUCUCACAGGGUCACACUCCUGGACAAGGAACUUCAGGAAACUCAAAGUUGAGUAUCCGUGACUUGCUUUUCCUUUCCUUUCCCUGCAUAUUCUCACCUAGGUGGUAAUGUGCAAUGGCUUUUUUAUUGUUAUUAUUUGGGAAUUUCACAUCAGGAACCCCAGUCACUCUAAUUUCUCAGUCCACUCAUGUCUGCCUUCCCUCCUUUAUAACCCCUCCCCCCCAAAAAAAAUAAAAGUUUUUUUUUAAGUCCAA
Molecule: long non-coding RNA, 2817 nt
Organism: Peromyscus leucopus (white-footed mouse)
Lineage: Eukaryota; Metazoa; Chordata; Mammalia; Rodentia; Cricetidae
Exons: 2
Source: RefSeq, a predicted model, not a curated record